This 468-nucleotide ribosomal RNA is filed under the name uncultured bacterium. RNAcentral's name for it is "partial 16S ribosomal RNA". It matches the Rfam family "Bacterial small subunit ribosomal RNA", at positions 28 to 507 of the family's 1533-position model. The record is from RNAcentral.
GACGAACGCUGGCGGCGUGCUUAACACAUGCCAGUCGAACGGAAAGGCCCUGCUUUUGUGCGGUUGUCGAUUGGCGAAGGGGUGAGUAACACGUGAGUAACCUGCCCUUGACUUUCGGAUAACUUCAGGAAACUUCGGCUAAUACCGGAUAGGAUCUCUUGCUGCAUGUUGGGCGUUGGUAAGUUUCGGCGGUUGGGGAUGGACUCGCUGCUUAUCGGCUGGAUGGUGUGGUAGUGGCUGACCAAGGCUUUGACGGGUAGCCGGCCUGAGAGGGGAGCCGGCCACAUUAGGACUGAGAUACGGAGCAGACUCGAACGGGAGGCAACGGUGGAGAGUACUACAGAAUAGGAGGGAGCCAGAUGUAGACACGCUGCGUGCGGGAUGACGUGAUUCGGGUUGUGAACCAAUGUGGCCGUUGACGAAGCGUGAGUGACGGUAAUGGGUCAAGAAGCACCGGCUAACUACGUG